RNAcentral lists this long non-coding RNA (200 nucleotides) under Elaeis guineensis (African oil palm). RNAcentral describes it as "long non-coding RNA (EGUI_LNC025323)". Lineage: Eukaryota; Viridiplantae; Streptophyta; Magnoliopsida; Arecales; Arecaceae. The record is from RNAcentral.
UCUCCGUGCCUAGAUCUUGAUGGAGAUCAAGAGUCCAAGAUAUCUUUGCUGGCCAAAUCAAAUGAAGGCUCCGUCGGUCAAAAGAGAUAAAAGAAAAUACUGCUGCUUCCACCGUGAUCAUGACUAUGAGAUAGAAGAUUGCUUGCAACUCAGGGAUAAAAUUGAAGCCUUGAUCUGCCUAGGUUAUCUUGGCACAUAUG